Molecule: ribosomal RNA, 495 nt
Filed under: uncultured bacterium
Lineage: Bacteria
Description: partial 16S ribosomal RNA
Rfam family: Bacterial small subunit ribosomal RNA
Source: RNAcentral
GAUGAACGCUGGCGGCGUGCCUAAUACAUGCAAGUAGAACGCUGAAGGAGGAGCUUGCUCUUCUGGAUGAGUUGCGAACGGGUGAGUAACGCGUAGGUAACCUGCCUGGUAGCGGGGGAUAACUAUUGGAAACGAUAGCUAAUACCGCAUGACAACAGUUAUUGCAUGAUAACUGUUUAAAAGGGGCAACUGCUCCACUACCAGAUGGACCUGCGUUGUAUUAGCUAGUUGGUGAGGUAACGGCUCACCAAGGCGACGAUACAUAGCCGACCUGAGAGGGUGAUCGGCCACACUGGGACUGGGACACGGCCCAGACUCCUACGGGAGGCAGCAGUAGGGAAUCUUCGGCAAUGGACGGAAGUCUGACCGAGCAACGCCGCGUGAGUGAAGAAGGUUUUCGGAUCGUAAAGCUCUGUUGUCAGAGAAGAACGAGUGUGAGAGUGGAAAGUUCACACUGUGACGGUAUCUUACCAGAAAGGGACGGCUAACUACGUG